GCGGGUAUCGAUUAAUGGUUAAAUUAACUGCCUUCCAAGCAGUGGCUAUGGGUUCGAAUCCCAUUACCCGCA
Molecule: transfer RNA, 72 nt
Filed under: Telonemida sp.
Lineage: Eukaryota; Telonemia; Telonemida
Description: tRNA-Gly
Rfam family: tRNA
About the family: Transfer RNA (tRNA) molecules are approximately 80 nucleotides in length. Their secondary structure includes four short double-helical elements and three loops (D, anti-codon, and T loops).
Source: RNAcentral